RNAcentral lists this ribosomal RNA (391 nucleotides) under Bacillus sp. (in: firmicutes). RNAcentral's name for it is "bacterial SSU rRNA". It matches the Rfam family "Bacterial small subunit ribosomal RNA", at positions 395 to 777 of the family's 1533-position model. The record is from RNAcentral. Lineage: Bacteria; Bacillati; Bacillota; Bacilli; Caryophanales; Bacillaceae.
CGCCGCGUGAGUGAUGAAGGUUUUCGGAUCGUAAAGCUCUGUUGUUAGGGAAGAACAAGUGCCGUUCGAAUAGGGCGGCACCUUGACGGUACCUAACCAGAAAGCCACGGCUAACUACGUGCCAGCAGCCGCGGUAAUACGUAGGUGGCAAGCGUUGUCCGGAAUUAUUGGGCGUAAAGCGCGCGCAGGCGGUCUCUUAAGUCUGAUGUGAAAGCCCACGGCUCAACCGUGGAGGGUCAUUGGAAACUGGGGGACUUGAGUACAGAAGAGGAAAGUGGAAUUCCACGUGUAGCGGUGAAAUGCGUAGAUAUGUGGAGGAACACCAGUGGCGAAGGCGACUUUCUGGUCUGUAACUGACGCUGAGGCGCGAAAGCGUGGGGAGCAAACAGGA